UCAGCUUUUAACUCUUUACGGUGGUCAAUUUACAAUUUCAAUUUAGUUUAUAAAACCAAAUUACAUUUUUAAGGUAGUUUGUUUCAAGUUUGUCCACUGGUCUUUUCUAUUUUGUUUCUUGUUUAUUUGCUUCAGCUACGUGAAAUCGAAUGGGAAAAUUCUGGAUUUCUGUUGCACGACAGACGAUGUGAUGUGGCCUGUUUUAUUUAUGACUCGUUGGAUCCAGCUUCGUUUACCCAAGUGAUACAACUGCGAGAGAAACUUCCCAAAACAGUUCCUUGUAUGUUAGUUGCUGGUAAAAGUGAAGGCGUAGCAGCUAAACAGGAUUUUGAAAUGCAGCCGUCUUUGUACUGCUCGUUAAACAAGUUACCACCACCUCAGCCAUUUUCAUCCCUAAGCAGACCAGACGUAUACAGGGCUACCUACGACAACCUCGCCCAAAUGGCCGUCUAUCCGUA
Molecule: long non-coding RNA, 458 nt
Organism: Stylophora pistillata
Lineage: Eukaryota; Metazoa; Cnidaria; Anthozoa; Scleractinia; Pocilloporidae
Source: RefSeq, a predicted model, not a curated record